UAGGGAAUCUUCCACAAUGGAUGAAAGUCUGAUGGAGCAACGCCGCGUGAGUGAAGAAGGGUUUCGGCUACGUAAAACUCUGUUAGUUAAAGAAGAACAUAUCCGAGAGUAACUGUUCAGGUAUUGACGGUAUUUAACCAGAAAGCCACGGCUAACUACGUGCCAG
Molecule: ribosomal RNA, 166 nt
Filed under: uncultured bacterium
Lineage: Bacteria
Description: partial 16S rRNA
Rfam family: Bacterial small subunit ribosomal RNA
Source: RNAcentral